RNAcentral lists this transfer RNA (73 nucleotides) under Pyrinomonadaceae bacterium. RNAcentral's name for it is "tRNA-Lys". It matches the Rfam family "tRNA". Rfam says of the family: Transfer RNA (tRNA) molecules are approximately 80 nucleotides in length. Their secondary structure includes four short double-helical elements and three loops (D, anti-codon, and T loops). The record is from RNAcentral. RNAcentral also lists the same sequence under 1 other name. Lineage: Bacteria; Pseudomonadati; Acidobacteriota; Blastocatellia; Blastocatellales; Pyrinomonadaceae.
GGGUCGUUAGCUCAGUCGGUAGAGCAUCCGGCUUUUAACCGGAGGGUCGUAGGUUCGAGCCCUACACGACCCA